GGGCGGGUAGCUCAGUUGGUAGAGCGUCGUGCUUACACCGCGAGGGUCGCAGGUUCGAGCCCUGUCCCGCCCA
Non-coding RNA from Enhygromyxa salina, 73 nucleotides. Lineage: Bacteria; Pseudomonadati; Myxococcota; Nannocystales; Nannocystaceae. The record is from Rfam.